CGGAAAACUACUCGGCUCAUCUGGGUUACUUGUUUGGUAUCUUACAGAGACUGGUCAGGAUAAAAGAAGUUCCCAUUUAAAAUAAGUGAUGUUUUACUCUAAUUCCUGCCGAAAAUUCUUGUAAGGAUAUUCAGGUGCAGUGUUUUCGGUGCCCAUGCGACAAUACCUUCACUGUGAGAGUUCUAAUGUGGUCUCUGAAUGUUCCUGGAAGUAGAUGUAAUGUACUGGGGUGAAAAUAAGGCUGUAAUCUGAAGAUGAAAGAAGUGACCGUGAACUCAGAAAAAAUAUUCUAAAAGCCUGAAACUAGAAAAGAGACAAUUUCUUCCCUUCACAAAAACAGCCCAGGAUCUGGUUUGCCGUGAAAGGUUCCUAACAAGAUCCACAGUGCUUUACUUAGUAGCUUUUGUUAAAGCUUCAUUUUGAGAUUUACUACCAUUUAAUUCACGAACAUUUACUAUCAUUUAAUUCACUAACAGUUAGAUUUACUAUCAUUUAGUUCAUAGAAACACUUUGUUUCUAUGCUGUGCCAAGCAUUACACCUAGCAUCUAAGAGAGGACACAGGGCAAGAAAUGGUUAGCAUUUUAGGACAAAAUGUCCAAACUAGUCCAGAACUAGUGAAGAAAAAUCCAAACCAGGCUGCCUCCUCAUCAGAGGGACCCCAGAAAAUGAAAGCUAAAGUUAAACAUUUAUGAUUCAACUCUAGCAGAAUACCUGUUUCUGACGAUCCUCCAUGGGAAAGCGUCUAUUGUGGGACGUCACCUAUUUCUUUGUGUUGCCUUUUUAGUGUUUUAGUUAAUCAAUUCUUGUUCACAGAGAAUCAGGCUUUUGUGGGUGUUGGGGGAGAAAAAGGUGAUUUUCUGGGAGAAGGUGCCCUGGGCUGGAAGGGUACAGCAAUUCAUUACAUUCCAGCCUCCGUCUUCUCUCCACUUUCGAAAUUAGCUUUGCUGUGACUUUUUUUGACCUGCCUCCACUCUGUUUCAGAUUUGUAUACUCAUGUUUCAUGUAUCAGUGAUGAUUCCAAUUACACGCUAGGUAACAAGAGUUUAAUAAAAUGUGGCAAUAAAUUGUGGAAAGACAUCAUGCAUGGGAAAAAAAUGUAUUAAGAAAUGUGUUCCAGGUAGGGCUUCCAGUAUUAAAUGACUAAUCACUUCCCCCCACACACACAAAGUGGAGGUUUUACUUUGGGAAACUUGGCCCUUUCAAAGCUAGAAUGCCAAGCAGUGCCUUCCAACUGGGCCUCCAGCCUGUCAGAAACAUGUGGCGGCUGUUGUUUCUUUGUACACAGAACUCUUUUUUUUUUAAUGUCCUCAGUGACCCUUCAGCAGGAAGGAAGGAAGGAAGGGAGGAAGGAGAAGACCUUGUUCAAGGCUUACAUGUUGAUUUCAUUGAUAAGUGAUAAGAAAAGGGAUGGACAAUAGUUUGUUUUCAGUAAAGUCUAGUGGUCAAAUUGUCCCGAAUCGAAUCCAUGUAUUCAAUAUGUGAACUUACAUAAGGUUCUUACUGUGGGGAGCCUGCCACGGCUAUGUCAGGGAUCAUAGGCUCAGAUCUGUGGAAAACAGCACCCCUCCCCCACCCUGCCCACGCUGGGGCUCGGGAGGCAUAGCAAAGCCGUCCCCUGGUCCAAGUUUAAACACUGACAGGGUGUGCGGAAAAUGGCCACCAUAGCUUUCUCCCCGCAGAUAUUUGUAGCCUGAAGAUAUGAGUCCCCUACAGAGACUGCACCUACCGAGAUUAGCUAAACCUGUCUCCUUGAGCCGGCCAAUCUUCUAAACCCCUCCUUAUUUUUCUGUAUGAAAUAAGUCUGCCUCUUUGUUCCGUCUGUAACCCUGCCUGUCUAUUCAACUCUGUGUAACUAGCGUGCUGUGCUGUGAUUUUUUUCCAAUCUGAGAGCCCAGUUCAUGAACCUCAGCUUUCUAAUUGUGAAGGUGUCUAUCAUUUCUUCAUUUAUUCAUUGCCCUUUAGUUAGGCCAAGUUCCUUGAGCUGUAGAAGGACCCAGCAUCUUACAUGGCUUUUUAAAUUUUGAGCCAGGGUCUCUCUGCCCAGGACAGGCUUGUCACCAAUUCAGGAUCCUGGGCUUCUUCUCUUGUGUGCUGGGCUUACAUGUAUACAUCACCAAGCCUGUAUAGAUACACCUCUGUUCCUCAUGUUAAACAGGGGCAGGGAUAUGUUCUUUACUGAGUGGUUGCAGAAUAUCAGCAAUUAAAAAAAACUGAAUGCAAAGCAUUUAGCUCAACUGGAAAUGCAGGGUAAGCACUCAGUAAGAACACUGUUAUUAAAAAAUAUCCAAUUUAAAGAUGUGAGUAGAAAUUGCACAAUUUUUUUAUUGUUUGCUGGUUGGUGCUAGAGAUUGGCCCUAGAGUCUACUGAACAUGUUCUCUGAUCAUGGUCUAUAUUGCUAGCCUCCUGAUUACCUACAUGUUGUAGAAUAUAUUUGUACCUUGUGUGAAGACAGGUUGCUGUUAUUGGUGCAAUGAAAUGUGGAAUGACCAACAGCUGGGCAGUAGAAGCUAGGCAGAACUUCUGGGGAGAGAGAGGAAGAGAAGGAAUCUAGGCACAUGGGGAGUCAUCAGCCAGAUGUGGAGGAGAGCAGGGUACAGGGUGCAGAGGUAACAAGCCACGUGGCAGAACGGAGUUGAAAAAAAAAUAAUGGGUCAAUUUAAGUCACAAGAGCUAGUGAAAAACAAACCUAGCUAAAGACCAAAGCUUUUAUAAUUAAUAGUGAGUCUCUGUGUCGUGAUUUGUGGGCUGGCGGUCCGGACCUGAAAAGACUCACUACGUUUGGCACCCAAGGUCGGGCUCCAGAAGAUGCAUUUGUCUAAUUCUUUAUCCACAAAAACUCGGAAGUCAGACGUUGGGCUAAGAGCCUGAGUGAUCAGAGAAGCGGAAGAGAAGCGACCAAUGAAAGCCCGAGCAUCUUUCUAAACCCCUCCCUACUGCUUCCCCUGUCUCUCUAUAUGUUCUGGGUCCUCCAAAAAACCUCCAUGGCUAAUUUUCAUCAGCUCAUAGGUGGCUCCACCCUCCGAUUCAAGGUAAACUUUAUUGGCCAUCUUUGCAGUGUUAGAAUGCGAUCAAAAUAUCGUACAACACCUGAAAAUAACAGUUCCAGGGAAAAAAAGCAUAAAACGUGUCACUUGGGAAAGGAGAUGAUGUGUGCACAUUUGACUUUUUCUAAAUUUCUGUGUCACCCUCACGGCGUUUCAUAACAUUUGCUUUCCUAUCAGUGGUAUCAUUUGUUGGGUGACUCUCCUCACCUUCACCGCAUCACUAAUGAUCACUAGAAAUCGUCAGGUUCUGUAUCCUUCGGAAGGAUGAAAAUCCCAAGUGUGACUUCUUAUUUCACUUUGGAAGUCAGCAUCUGGGAACCGCGGGGGAUAAGGAACUUCCUGGCAGAUACUUGAUUUGUCCUUAUUGUUCCUGCUUCUAUAACGUUCUGAGAGCCCAUAGAGGAGACAGUCUUGUUUCUUCCUGGGCUUUUACCUUGCUAGUAGGUUAGCAGUGAGGCUUCUGGAACUUGGUCCAUAUUGUUUUAGCUACUCCUUUCCUUGCUGUGGUAAAAUGCUUUUUAUAGGGGGAAGAUUUAUUUUGACUCAUUGUUUAAAAGGUCAGAGUCCAUAAUGGUGGGGAAGGUGUGGCCAUGGAUGUAUGUGGUCAGAGUUUUCUUGAAUCUGGAAGCAGUGAGAUCUUCCAAAACCUUGGGUGGUUUAAGAUCAUAGGUCUCUCACCAUCCCUCCAGGAACCCAGCAGCUAAGAGCCAACUCCUAGAGGUCUCAUAGGUCCCUAGAACUGGGCCAUCUGUUCAAACACAUGAAGCCCAUGGAGGCCACUUCAUAUUUUAGCCGUAAUACUUUGUGCUUUGAGAGAGUAAUUUAGUUUCUCUGUACCUCUUGGUUCCUUUGAGUGUGGUGGCAAUAAUGACACUUUGGAGUGUAGCCAACAUGAUUGGAGAGUACAUACCACAAAAUGUCCAGGAUAGUAGCACAAGACAUUUUAAUGGAGACUAGUUAGUGGUACAAUACAGAUGAUUCGUUGGGUUGGGUUGCAAGUCUGUGACAUAUUCAUAAAAUAGUAUUUGCCAUCAGAGAAUUAAGACAUGAUCAGAGUGUUGAGUACCGAGACAUCAGAGUGUAGAUUUUCUUCAUUAGUGCCUGAGUAAGAAAUAAGGUAGUGAAGUGGUGACUGAAAUUAUUAUCAGUUGUUAUGUGCUAUUCCAAUGAUCAGAUCAUAGUCUAAGAGUAAUUGUACUCCAGGAACAAAAUUAUGAUUUUUCAAAAAAGACCAUGGAGCUAGCUAAUAAUUGUAGAGUUGAGGGUUUGCGAUGAGAUCUGUGCCUUUCUGGUGGUUUUGUGUAUGGGACUUAUUUAAUUCUCACAGCCACCCUCAUGGGGUACAUGACUGUUGUUCUUAUUAGUUAACACGAGAAGUGACCAUUUCCUAUUUUUUUCUCAGGGCAUUUGGAGAUUUUCUUUGUCCCGUUGCUUCAGAGGUUUAGAAACAUAUCUCUUAUCUUAUAUGAGAAGAAACAGGAAAGAAAGGGGACAAGAAGAAGGAGGCCAA
Molecule: long non-coding RNA, 4556 nt
Organism: Mesocricetus auratus (golden hamster)
Lineage: Eukaryota; Metazoa; Chordata; Mammalia; Rodentia; Cricetidae
Exons: 3
Source: RefSeq, a predicted model, not a curated record